AAAAGCUAAAAAGCCCAUGCUUCUAUUGACUUUGAUCUCCCAAGGGCACCUGAGGAAAGAAAACGCAAGCCCUCUCUCUCUCUCCAGCCAUGAGUCUCUUUGGUCUGGGCAGAAAUCAAAGGACAUUCCGCCCCAAAAAGAGUGCACCAUCAGGAAGUAAGGGUGCACAACUUAGAAAGCACAUUGAUGCCACCCUAGGCAGCGGAAACCUGAGGGAAGCUGUAAGACUUCCUCCUGGGGAGGAUUUGAACGAGUGGCUUGCUGUAAACACUGUGGAUUUCUUCAACCAGGUGAAUCUUCUCU
This 303-nucleotide unclassified non-coding RNA is filed under the name Hevea brasiliensis (rubber tree). Lineage: Eukaryota; Viridiplantae; Streptophyta; Magnoliopsida; Malpighiales; Euphorbiaceae. The record is from RNAcentral.